RNAcentral lists this ribosomal RNA (51 nucleotides) under Chaetomium globosum. RNAcentral describes it as "partial 28S ribosomal RNA". The record is from RNAcentral. Lineage: Eukaryota; Fungi; Ascomycota; Sordariomycetes; Sordariales; Chaetomiaceae.
UUGACCUCGGAUCAGGUAGGAAGACCCGCUGAACUUAAGCAUAUCAAUAAG